UGGGUCCACAGGCCAAGCACUAAUUCAAAAUAUUUUAUUAAUUUUUAGUAUAAUCAAAGUAUUAUUUAUGCUUAUUUUACUGUCAAUAAAAAAUAUUUUUUUUAAGUUUACGAUUAUUCCUUGUAAUAGUGUGAUGUUCAAUGUUGAAAUCAAAGAUGAUACAGCUGCGGGUUGAGGUCCAUGGCUCUCGGCAGUGUCCUUGUGCAAGUGGCUAGCCAUUGGGAGGUCACCACCUGUCCCAACCAUUGAGAGUUCUAGAAUAUAUUAUGAAUGUAAUUGUAAGUUUUCUCAAAUCUAGUGUCUUUAAUUGUAAUUUUCCAAUUUUUUGGAUUUAUUUUAUAAGAUAAAAUAUUAUUGCCUAUUCUUUUUUUAAAGAAUUACCUCUACAAAUUUUAAACUAAGAGGCCAAAUCUCCAUUUUCAAAAUUAAAUAAAAAGGAAAUGAUUCAAAAACUGAGACCAAAUCCAUUAACCCAAACAUUUUCCUCUCUUAAAACCUAUUAAUCCAUAUUUUCAUUAAUUCUCACAAGUCCAAAACUCAAAUUUAUAAAUCACCCAAAUAUUUUGGUCUAAAUCCGCAGUAAUCGGAAGUUUUAAAGUUAAUAAAUUAUUUCUCAAAAAAUCCAUAAAAUUUGAGCAUGUAGUCUCAAAAAAUCAACCAUUAAGAUUUAAAACAGAUUUAUAAUAAAAGCUUUGAUUUGUAUGCCGAGAAAAUGUGAUGUUUGAAAUAAAUAAUAUAGAGAGUAAAUGUAAAUAGAAAAAAAGAGGAGAAUAUAUUUUUAUUGAUUAAUGGAAAUAUCUAUAAAACUUCUCCAAAGUUUAUAUUUAUAGAUAUAAAAGUAUAAAUGGUAUAAAACUUUACUUCAAAUGGACAUUAAAGUCUUAAAGUACAUUAAAUCUGUCUUUAUUUUGAUGAACAUCCACUUAAUAAUAAAAUAUUUAUAACACUCCCUCCUCUUGGAUGUCCUUUGGUAAAUAAUGUGUUUUGUUAAAACCUUACUAAGAUAAAAACUUUGUAGAAAGAAAAUUCUUAAUAAAGGAACAAGAGUGAGUAUAUAUGAUAAGUUAUAAAAGUAACAUGUUUUUAAUAUUGAUGAGAAUUAUAAGUUGAGCAAGAUUAAUUUUUAAUUGUGAGUUGAGGAUUUUACUUGAGGACAAGCAAACGCUUAAGUGUGGGGAUAUUUGAUAAGCUAUAAAAGUAACAUGUUUUUAAUCCCAAUCUUAAUGCAUCUUUUGGAUGAUUUAUUAUGUAAAUUAGUGAAUUUGAUGUUCCUAAUCCUUUAAAUUCAUGUUUCUAUACUUAGGUGAGUAUAGGGGAGCAGAAGGAGCGAAAAACAGGCAAAAUCAGACAAAAAGAGUUGUUUACAGGAUCCACACGGGCUGGACACACUCUAAUGUGCCUGCCUGUGUCGAUUUCACACCCUGUUUCUCUUUUACGCAGAAAAAACUAAUUUUUAGGGAUUCUGAGCAUCCUAAAGUUUAUAAAUACAUAGUAGAAGAGGACAUAAGGGAACAUGCAAAGAAGAAUAAAGAAAAGACUCUAAGAAUGCC
Molecule: long non-coding RNA, 1550 nt
Filed under: Gossypium barbadense (sea-island cotton)
Lineage: Eukaryota; Viridiplantae; Streptophyta; Magnoliopsida; Malvales; Malvaceae
Description: long non-coding RNA (GBAR_LNC005611)
Source: RNAcentral